This 175-nucleotide ribosomal RNA is filed under the name uncultured bacterium. Its description in RNAcentral is "partial 16S ribosomal RNA". It matches the Rfam family "Bacterial small subunit ribosomal RNA", at positions 1327 to 1500 of the family's 1533-position model. The record is from RNAcentral.
UGGAAUCGCUAGUAAUCGCGAAUCAGAAUGUCGCGGUGAAUACGUUCCCGGGUCUUGUACACACCGCCCGUCACACCAUGGGAGUCAGCAACGCCCGAAGUCAGUGACCUAACCUUAUGGGGAGGAGCUGCCGAAGGCGGGGCCGGUAACUGGGGUGAAGUCGUAACAAGGUAAC